RNAcentral lists this ribosomal RNA (318 nucleotides) under uncultured Chloroflexota bacterium. Its description in RNAcentral is "bacterial SSU rRNA". It matches the Rfam family "Bacterial small subunit ribosomal RNA", at positions 28 to 351 of the family's 1533-position model. Lineage: Bacteria; Bacillati; Chloroflexota. The record is from RNAcentral.
GAUGAACGCUGGCGGCGUGCCUAAUACAUGCAAGUCGAACGGAGGGUAGCAAUACCCUUAGUGGCGAACGGGUGAGUAACGCGUUGGUGACCUGCCCCGAAGUGUGGGAUACCAGGCCGAAAGGCUUGCUAAUACCGCAUGGUCAACUGGGAGACUAGAAACCUGGUUGUAAAGGAGAAAUCCGCUUUGGGAGGGGCCUGCGUCCCAUCAGCUAGUUGGUAAGGUAACGGCUUACCAAGGCGAUGACGGGUAGGGGACCUGAGAGGGUGAUCCCCCACAAUGGAACUGAAACACGGUCCAUACACCUACGGGUGGCUG